UUGACCUCGAAUCAGGUAGGAAUACCCGCUGAACUUAAGCAUAUCAAUAAGCGGAGGAAAAGAAACCAACAGGGAUUGCCCCAGUAACGGCGAGUGAAGCGGCAACAGCUCAAAUUUGAAAUCUGGCCCCCCGGGGCCCGAGUUGUAAUUUGCAGAGGAUGCUUUUGGCGAGGCGCCUUCCGAGUUCCCUGGAACGGGACGCCAUAGAGGGUGAGAGCCCCGUCUGGUUGGACGCCGAGCCUCUGUAAAGCUCCUUCGACGAGUCGAGUAGUUUAGGAAUGCUGCUCUAAAUGGGAGGUAUAUGUCUUCUAAAGCUAAAUACCGGCCAGAGACCGAUAGCGCACAAGUAGAGUGAUCGAAAGAUGAAAAGCACUUUGAAAAGAGGGUUAAACAGUACGUGAAAUUGUUGAAAGGGAAGCGCUUGCGACCAGACUUGGGCCCGGCGGAUCAUCCAGCGUUCUCGCUGGUGCACUCCGGCGGGCCCAGGCCAGCAUCAGCUCGCCCCGGGGGACAAAGGCGGGGGGAACGUGGCUCCUCCGGGAGUGUUAUAGCCCACCGCGCAAUGCCCUGGGGCGGGCUGAGGACCGCGCGUUUACGCAUGGAUGCUGGCGUAAUGGUCGCCAGCGACCCGUCUUGAAACACGGACCAA
RNAcentral lists this ribosomal RNA (649 nucleotides) under Claviceps clavispora. RNAcentral's name for it is "eukaryotic LSU rRNA". It matches the Rfam family "Eukaryotic large subunit ribosomal RNA", at positions 1 to 669 of the family's 3401-position model. Lineage: Eukaryota; Fungi; Ascomycota; Sordariomycetes; Hypocreales; Clavicipitaceae. The record is from RNAcentral.